Molecule: unclassified non-coding RNA, 21 nt
Filed under: Mus musculus (house mouse)
Lineage: Eukaryota; Metazoa; Chordata; Mammalia; Rodentia; Muridae
Description: oocyte_clustered_small_RNA9976
Source: RNAcentral
CCCUCAGGAGCGCACGCUGAC